This is a non-coding RNA of Xyrichtys novacula (pearly razorfish), 18498 nucleotides long. The record is from the annotation of a GenBank genome assembly. Lineage: Eukaryota; Metazoa; Chordata; Actinopteri; Labriformes; Labridae.
UCUUUCUUUCUUUAGGGCCCGAGCGUAGCUGCUAAGCAGCUGCGAGAGCCCUCUUGUUCCUGCAUGUUUCCUUCUUUUGUUAUUAGGGCCCGAGCGUAGCUGCUAAGCAGCUGCGAGAGCCCUCUUGUUCCUGUAGUUUCCUUCUUUUGUUAUUAUUAUUAUUAUUAUUUUUCCUCCCCUUUGAACUGGAAAAUGGCCCACUUCCCACUGGCGAAAACUCAUGAAAUUUGGCAGGACGACCGGGCCUGGUGAAAAAUUUGAUAUUCCGAAGUCGCCCAAACAAGAAAAUGCAAAAUGGCUCCAUAGCGCCCCCUAAGGUGAAAAUUCACACUAUUCACUGUCACGCCGGUACGCUUUGUCAAAAUGACACAAAAAUUGACACACACAUGUAUCUCAAUAAGAUCUACAAAAAAGUCAGUGCGGGCGUAUCUGUCAAAUGUACGGUUAAAGGGUUAUUUCGCAUUUUUUGCCGAUCCGCACACAUUGGAAUUUCGCUAACUCCUCCGAAGGCUUUCGUUCCACCGGCACCACAUUUGCUCAGGCCAAUCUACACCCCAUGGCCAUUAAAAGUUAUUCAAAUCAUGACGCUGCACCCCACGGUUUAGGUUCUAGGGGGCGCCAAAGAUAACCCUAAGAUCCACAUAUUUAAAAGUCUUAUAACUUUUUAUUUUUGCCCUCACUGGCCUCCAAGUUUUCUAGGAUGAUGCAAUGUCCAGCCAUCAACACAUUUGUGAAGGAAUUUUUACUCCCCAAAAGAGCGCCCCCCCAUGGCAGGAGAAAAAAGUCCAUUUUUUCUUGUCCCCUAAGGUGAAAAUACACAUUGUUGAGUGUAACACCUGUACGCUUUGGCAAAAUGACACAAAAAUUGACACACACAUGUAUCUCAAUAAGAUCUACAAAAAGUCAAUGCGCGCGUAUCUGUCAAAUGUACGGUUAAAGGGUUAUUCCGCAUUUUUUGCCGAUCCGCACACAUUGGAAUUUCGCUAACUCCUCCGAAGGCUUUCGUUCCACCGGCACCACAUUUGCUCAGGCCAAUCUACACCCCAUGGCCAUUAAAAGUUAUUCAAAUCAUGACGCUGCACCCCACGGUUUAGGUUCUAGGGGGCGCCAAAGAUAACUGUAAAAUCCACAUAUUUAAAAGUCUUAUAACUUUUUAUUUUUGUCCCCACUGGCCUCCAAGUUUUCUAGGAUGAUGCAAUGUCCAGCCAUCAACACAUUUGUGAAGGAAUUUUUACUCGCCAAAAGAGCGCCCCCCCAUGGCAGGAGAAAAAAGUCCAUUUUUUCUUGUCCACUAAGGUGAAAAUACACAUUGUUGAGUGCUACGCCUGUAUGUUUUGUCGUAUUGACACAAAAUUUUACAUACACGUGUAUUUCAAUAAGAUCUUCGAAAAAGUCAAUGGCCACGUAUCUGUAAAAUGUACGGUUAAAGGGUUAUUUCGCAUUUUUUGCAGAUUCGCACACAUUGGAAUUUCGCUAACUCCUCCGAAGGCUUUCGUUCCACCGGCACCACAUUUGCUCAGGCCAAUCUACACCCCAUGGCCAUUAAAAGUUAUUCAAAUCAUGACGCUGCACCCCACGGUUUAGGUUCUAGGGGGCGCCAAAGAUAACCCUAAAAUCCACAUAUUUAAAAGUCUUAUAACUUUUUAUUUUUGUCCUCACUGGCCUCCAUGUUUUCUAGGAUGAUGCAAUGUCCAGCCAUCAACACAUUUGUGAAGGAGUUUUUUCUCUUUAAAAGAGCGCCCCCCAUGGCAGGAGAAUAAAGUCAAGUUUUUCCUGUUCAUCAUUCAAUGGCUCAAACGCACUGCUCUCUCGGCAAAAGCGAAAGGAGGAGCAACUUGCCAUUUGGAUAUAUCUUAGCUGUGUUUGUGCCCUCACUCAUGGUCCAGACUUUUUUCAAAUAGGACAUGGAGUUUUUCUGCAGCGAGCGUUUUGGUAGAAACUGCGCCUCCCGUUCAUUAUAAUGGUAAAUGACCACAAACAAGUGCGCACACCAUCUUUGGACCUUGAGUGUGACGCGAUCGGGUGGGGGAGGCGGUCGCGCUGGGGGCAGUGUGACACGGCUCGGGCCCGCCAGUGCCCCAACGGGGCCCUAGUUUCUUCUUUUUCCUCCCCUUUGAACUGGAAAAUGGCCCACUUCCCACUGGCGAAAACUCAUGAAAUUUGGCAGGACGACCGGGCCUGGUGAAAAAUUCGAUAUUCUGAAGUCGCCCAAACAAUAAAAUGCAAAAUGGCUCCAUAGCGCCCCCUAAGGUGGAAAUUCACACUAUUGACUGUCACGCCUGUACGCUUUGUCAUAUUGACACAAAAAUUGACACACAUAUGUAUCUCAAUAAGAUCUACAAAAAAGUCAGUGCGGCCGUAUCUGUCAAAAUUACGGUUAAAGGGUUAUUUCGCAUUUUUUGCCGAUCCGCACACAUUGGAAUUUCGCUAACUCCUCCGAAGGCUUUCGUUCCACCGGCACCACAUUUGCUCAGGCCAAUCUACACCCUGUGGCCAUUAAAAGUUAUCAAAAUCAUGACGCUGCACCCCAAGGUUUAGGUUCUAGGGGGCGCCAAAGAUAACACUAAAAUCCACAUAUUUAAAAGUCUUAUAACUUUUUAUUUUUGUCCUCACUGGCCUCCAAGUUUUCUAGGAUGAUGCAAUGUCCAGCCAUCAACACAUUUGUGUAGGAAUUUUUACUCCCCAAAAGAGCGCCCCCCCAUGGCAGGAGAAAAAAGUCCAUUUUUUCUUGUCCCCUAAGGUGAAAAUACACAUUGUUGAGUGUCACGCCUAUACGCUUUGUCAAAAUGACACAAAAAUUGACACACACAUGUAACUCAAUAAGAUCUACAAAAAAGUCCAUGCGCGCGUAUCUGUCAAAUGUACAGUUAAAGGGUUAUUCCGCAUUUUUUGCAGAUACGCACACAUUGGAAUUUCGCUAACUCCUCCGAAGGCUUUCGUUCCACCGGCACCACAUUUGCUCAGGCCAAUCUACACCCCAUGGCCAUUAAAAGUUAUUCAAAUCAUGACGCUGCACCCCACGGUUUAGGUUCUAGGGGGCGCCAAAGAUAACCCUAAAAUCCACAUAUUUAAAAGUUUUAUAACUUUUUAUUUUUGUCCUCACUGGCCUCCAAGUUUUCUAGGAUGAUGCAAUGUCCAGCCAUCAACACAUUUGUGAAGGAAUUUUUACUCCCCAAAAGAGCGCCCCCCAUGGCAGGAGAAAAAAGUCCAUUUUUUCUUGUCCCCUAAGGUGAAAAUACAUAUUGUUGAGAUUCACGCCUAUACGCUUUGUCAUAUUGACACAAAAUUUGACAAUCACGUGCCUUGCCUGGUAUCAUUUUUUUCAGCACAACCUCACCUGUGCGAAUUUACAGUUAUUUUAUCAUGUUGACAUACUGAAUUUACACAAUGGACCCAAAUUCACACACAAAACAUAAAAUCCGAGUGGAAAAAAGUAACAUUUUUACUGUGAAAACCACAAAUAUGUGUGAUGAACUGUUUUUAAAACUUAAACUUCAAAUAAAAAUUGUAAACUUCAAAACAUAUGCAAAUUUUUAACAAAGAACAUAGUGAUUUACCUCUAUUUACAUCAAAAUGCAGGCAAUGGCCCAGGCGUUCUUUGUAAAAUUAUUUACAAAACACUGUAUAGUCUCACAAAUGUCACUUUUUAUUUAUGCCACUACAAAAAAACAUGAUGUAAAUGAUGCAUGAUGUAAAACAUGAUGUAAAAAACUUGUGUAGAUCCUCCUCUAUGUCAGUCCAUGUGUAAUUUUUCCAUAAUUCUUUGUUUUUUGCAGCAUUUUUGUUAGUGUAACUGCAGAUUGUGCUGACAGUGUCUAUGGCACAAAAAAAAAAAAAUUAAAAUGCCUCAACAUGAACCCCUGGUGGUCUCUGAGGGUGAAACCUGCUAACUGCUGCAGCUCUGUCAGCUUCAGUCUCCCAUGCAGAGCUCUGAGCGCAUGUGUGGCUCUGCACCCUUAGCAGCGUUGCUAACUCCUCAGUAAGGAAAGCCUGCUUCAUGUCAGAGUCUCUAAACUCCAGAAGAAGUCGAUAAAAGUCCCUUUCUUUCUAAAAAAAAAGUCGUUAGGGGGUCUGAAAAGUCAUUGAAUCUAACAACAAAGUCGCUAGGUUUGCAACUACGUGUCCCAGACUGCAUCCCUGCUGAGAGUCCCUCCCUCGCUUCUCAUGUUGCAGGAAGAACGUAAGCACCCGCCCCUUGUCAAUCAGUCACCAUAUAAUUUUGGAUUGGUUGUUGUGGUGAAGUUUUCCACCAAUAGGAGAGAUGUUGUGGUGUGUUUUUUUUUUCUUUUGGCAAGCCUUUUCCGCCUGUAAGACCUGUCGCUAAUGUCUGCAUGCUAUGUUUUCCUGUCUCAUACAGCGCGAUCGAGCGCCGAACGUGAUCAAAAUAAGCAGAAAAAAAGUAUCGCGGACAUAAUUUAUCAUAACUCUGGUUUUAUUUGGCCUAUCAACACAAUUUAAAAACUGGUAUAUAGGUUGAGGUCCUCACUUUUGAGAUAAGUUGAAACGGAGAGUCAACGAGGCUCCGUCUUGCAGCUACAUCCGGUUAAAUAUGUCAUGUGACUUGAACGCACACACACACACGCACACACACACACACACACACACACACUCAGAGUCUGGUUUUUAGCACCUGCAAAAACAUGCUAUUUACAUAUUUGACAAGAAUGCAGAGGCUCCUUUUGCCCCUGAAAAAAAUCAAAUUUCAAACACAACUUGACUGCUCAAUUCUCCAAAAGACAACCAUGAAGCUCCAUCCAAACCUGAAGCAGGCAGUUGGUGCAUGUGUACAGUAACCUGAGGGGAGUGAGGUGAGUGCUUCUGAGGAGAACAUGAGCAGUGAAGAUUCACCUUGGAGCUAGAACAGAGACAUGCACAUGAUUAUACAGGGGCAGGGGCUCAAGUUUUUUCCAGUCGUUUAUACAAUAUGGAAAUUAAUGUGAAAUUAAAACACAAAGUAUUAAUAGAAAGGUUAUGACUGUCCUGUGUAGGUGACAGUGAUAUCCAAUAGGCUAGGCACUCACGAGGCUGGCUGUGGCAAGUGUAAGUGAAAGCAACACGCACUGGCAAGAAGAACAGCAAACGCCGAUGAAGGAAAAGGGUCUUUGCAGUGAUGGGCGUUACCAGAGAGGGCGAUGGCCAGAGGACACAAAUGGGACGGGGAGGCAGCACGUUGGGGGGGGACGCGACACGGCUCGGGCCCGCCAGUGCCCCAAUGGGGUCCUAGUUAUUAUUUUUCCUCCCCUUUGAACUGGAAAAUGGCCCACUUCCCACUGGCGAAAACUCAUGAAAUUUGGCAGGACGACCGGGCCUGGUGAAAAAUUUGAUAUUCCGAAGUCGCCCAAACAAGAAAAUGCAAAAUGGCUCCAUAGCGCCCCCUAAGGUGAAAAAUUCACCUGACGCCUGUACGCUUUGUCAAAAUGACACAAAAAUUGACACACACAUGUAUCUCAAUAAGAUCUACAAAAAAGUCAGUGCGGGCGUAUCUGUCAAAUGUACGGUUAAAGGGUUAUUUCGCAUUUUUUGCCGAUCCGCACACAUUGGAAUUUCGCUAACUCCUCCGAAGGCUUUCGUUCCACCGGCACCACAUUUGCUCAGGCCAAUCUACACCCCAUGGCCAUUAAAAGUUAUUCAAAUCAUGACGCUGCACCCCACGGUUUAGGUUCUAGGGGGCGCCAAAGAUAACCCUAAGAUCCACAUAUUUAAAAGUCUUAUAACUUUUUAUUUUUGCCCUCACUGGCCUCCAAGUUUUCUUAGGAUGAUGCAAUGUCCAGCCAUCAACACAUUUGUGAAGGAAUUUUUACUCCCCAAAAGAGCGCCCCCCCAUGGCAGGAGAAAAAAGUCCAUUUUUUCUUGUCCCCUAAGGUGAAAAUACACAUUGUUGAGUGUAACACCUGUACGCUUUGGCAAAAUGACACAAAAAUUGACACACACAUGUAUCUCAAUAAGAUCUACGAAAAAGUCAAUGCGCGCGUAUCUGUCAAAUGUACGGUUAAAGGGUUAUUCCGCAUUUUUUGCCGAUCCGCACACAUUGGAAUUUCGCUAACUCCUCCGAAGGCUUUCAUUCCACCGGUACCACAUUUGCUCAGGCCAAUCUACACCCCAUGGCCAUUAAAAGUUAUUCAAAUCAUGACGCUGCAUCCCACGGUUUAGGUUCUAGGGGGCGCCAAAGAUAACCCUAAAAUCCACAUAUUUAAAAGUCUUAUAACUUUUUAUUUUUGUCCUCACUGGCCUCCAAGUUUUCUAGGAUGAUGCAAUGUCCAGCCAUCAACACAUUUGUGAAGGAAUUUUUACUCCCCAAAAGAGCGCCCCCCCAUGGCAGGAAAAAAAAGCCAAUUUUUUCUUGUCCCCUAAGGUGGAAAUUCACACUAUUGACUGUCACGCCUGUACGCUUUAUCAUAUUGACACAAAAAUUGACACACAUAUGUAUCUCAAUAAGAUCUACAAAAGAGUCGAUUCGCGCGUAUCUGUCAAAUGUACGGUUAAAGGGCUAUUUUGCAUUUUUUGCCGAUUCGCACACAUUGGAAUGUGGCUAACUCCUCCUAAGGCUUUCGUCCCACUGACACCAAAUUUGCUCAGGGCAAUCUACACCCCAUGGCCAUUCAAAGUUGUAAAAAUCAUGACGCUGCACCCCACGGUUUACGUUCUAGGGGGCGCCAAAGAUGACCCAAAAAUCCACAUUCUUCAAAGAAUCCACAUCCCCCCCCCCUUAUGGCAGGAGAAAAAGUUAAGUUUUUCCUGCCCAUCGCUCAAUGGCUCAAUCGCAUCGCUCUCCAGGCAACACCGUAAGGAGGAGCAACCUGCCAUUUCGAUAUAUCAUAGCUGUGUUUGUGCCCUCACUCAUGGUCCAGACUUUUUUCAAAUAGGACAUGAAGUUUGUCUGCAGCGAGUGUUUUGGUAGAAACUGCGCCUCCCAUUCAUUAUAAUAGGAAAUGACCACAGACAAGUGCGCACACCAUCUUUGGAUCUUGAGUGUGACGCGAUCGGGAGGGGGAGGCGGUCGCACUGGGGGCGGCGCGACACGGCUCGGGCCCGACAGUGCCCCAACGGGGUCCUAGUUCUUUCUUUCUUAGGGCCCGAGCGUAGCUGCUAAGCAGCUGCGAGAGCCCUAUUAUUCCUGAUGGAUUCUUCUUAGGGCCCGAGCGUAGCUGCUAAGCAGCUGCGAGAGCCCUCUUGUUCCUGUAGUUUCCUUCUUUUGUUAUUAGGGCCCGAGCGUAGCUGCUAAGCAGCUGCGAGAGCCCUCUUGUUCCUGUAGUUUCCUUCUUUUUAGGGCCCGAGCGUAGCUGCUAAGCAGCUGCGAGAGCCCUCUUGUUCCUGUAGUUUCCUUCUUUUGUUAUUAUUAUUAUUAUUAUUAUUUUUCCUCCCCUUUGAACUGGAAAAUGGCCCACUUCCCACUGGCGAAAACUCAUGAAAUUUGGCAGGACGACCGGGCCUGGUGAAAAAUUUGAUAUUCCGAAGUCGCCCAAACAAGAAAAUGCAAAAUGGCUCCAUAGCGCCCCCUAAGGUGAAAAUUCACACUAUUCACUGUCACGCCUGUACGCUUUGUCAAAAUGACACAAAAAUUGACACACACAUGUAUCUCAAUAAGAUCUACAAAAAAGUCAGUGCGGGCGUAUCUGUCAAAUGUACGGUUAAAGGGUUAUUUCGCAUUUUUUGCCGAUCCGCACACAUUGGAAUUUCGCUAACUCCUCCGAAGGCUUUCGUUCCACCGGCACCACAUUUGCUCAGGCCAAUCUACACCCCAUGGCCAUUAAAAGUUAUUCAAAUCAUGACGCUGCACCCCACGGUUUAGGUUCUAGGGGGCGCCAAAGAUAACCCUAAGAUCCACAUAUUUAAAAGUCUUAUAACUUUUUAUUUUUGCCCUCACUGGCCUCCAAGUUUUCUAGGAUGAUGCAAUGUCCAGCCAUCAACACAUUUGUGAAGGAAUUUUUACUCCCCAAAAGAGCGCCCCCCCAUGGCAGGAGAAAAAAGUCCAUUUUUUCUUGUCCCCUAAGGUGAAAAUACACAUUGUUGAGUGUAACACCUGUACGCUUUGGCAAAAUGACACAAAAAUUGACACACAUAUGUAUCUCAAUAAGAUCUACAAAAAAGUCAAUGCGCGCGUAUCUGUCAAAUGUACGGUUAAAGGGCUAUUUUGCAUUUUUUGCCGAUUCGCACACAUUGGAAUGUGGCUAACUCCUCCUAAGGCUUUCGUCCCACUGACACCAAAUUUGCUCAGGCCAAUCUACACCCCAUGGCCAUUCAAAGUUGUAAAAAUCAUGACGCUGCACCCCACGGUUUACGUUCUAGGGGGCGCCAAAGAUGACCCAAAUAUCCACAUUCUUAAAAGAAUCCACAUCCCCCCCAUCCCCCACCCCCCAUGGCAGGAGAAACAGUCAAGUUUUUCCUGCCCAUCACUCAAUGGCUCAAUCGCAUCGCUCUCCCGGCAACACCGUAACAAGGAGCAACUUGCCGUUUGGAUAAAUCCUAGCUGUGUUUGUGCCCUCACUCAUGGUCCAGACUUUUUUCAAAUAGGACAUGUAGUUUGUCUGCAGCGAGUGUUUUGGUAGAAACUGCGCCUCCCAUUCAUUAUAAUGGGAAAUGACCACAGACAAGUGCGCACACCAUCUUUGGACCUUGAGUGUGACGCGAUCGGGAGGGGGAGGCGGUCGCGCUAGGGGCGGCGCGACGCGGCUCGGGCCCGACAGUGCCCCACCGGGGCCCUAGUUUCUUCUUCUUCUUCUUAUUAUUUUUCUGCCCCUUUGAACUGGAAAAUGGCCCACUUCCCACUGGUGAAAAGUCAUGAAAUUUGGCAGGACGACCGGGCCUGGUGAAAAAUUCGAUAUUCUGAAGUCGCCCAAAAAAUCAAAUGCAAAAUGGCUCCAUAGCGCCCCCUAAGGUGAAAAAUUCACAUGAUUGAGUGUCACGCCUGUACGCUUUGUCAAAAUGACACAAAAUUUGACACACACGUGUAUCUCAAUAAGAUCUACAAAAAAGUCAGUGCGGGCGUAUCUGUCAAAUGUACGGUUAAAGGGCUAUUUCGCAUUUUUUGCCGAUCCGCACACAUUGGAAUUUCGCUAACUCCUCCGAAGGCUUUCGUUCCACCGGCACCAAAUUUGCUCAGGCCAAUCUACACCCCAUGGCCAUUAAAAGUUGUACAAAUCAUGACGCUGCAUCCCACGGUUUACGUUCUAGGGGGCGCCAAAGAUAACCCAGAAAUCCACAUUCUUAAAAGUCGUAUAACUUUUUAUUUUUGUCCUCACUGGCCUCCAAGUUUUCUAGGAUGAUGCAAUGUCCAGCCAUCAACACAUUUGUGAAGGAAUUUUUACUCCCCAAAAGAGCGCCCCCCCAUGGCAGGAGAAAAAAGUCAAUUUUUUCUUGUCUCCUAAGGCGAAAAUUCACACUAUUGACUGUCACGCCUUUACGCUUUGUCAUAUUGACACAAAAAUUGACACACACAUGUAUCUCAAUAAGAUCUACAAAAAAGUCAGUGCGGGCGUAUCUGUCAAAUGUACGGUGAAAGGGUUAUUUCGCAUUUUUUGCCGAUCCGCACACAUUGGAAUUUCGCUAACUCCUCCGAAGGCUUUCGUUCCAAAGGCACCACAUUUGCUGAGGCCAAUCUACACCCCAUGGCCAUUAAAAGUUGUACAAAUCAUGACGCUGCACCCCACGGUUUACGUUCUAGGGGGCGCCAAAGAGGACCCAAAUAUCCACAUUUUUAAAAGUCUUAUAACUUUUUAUUUUUGUCCUCACUGGCCUCCAAGUUUUCUAGGAUGAUGCAAUGUCCAGCCAUCAACACAUUUGUGAAGGAAUUUUUACUCCCCAAAAGAGCGCCCCCCCAUGGCAGGAGAAAAAAGUCCAUUUUUUCUUGUCUCCUAAGGCGAAAAUACACAUUGUUGACUGUCACGCCUUUACGCUUUGUCAAAAUGACACAAAAUUUGACACACACAUGUAUCUCAAUAAGAUCUACAAAAAAGUCAGUGCGGGCGUAUCUGUCAAAUGUACGGUUAAAGGGUUAUUUCGCAUUUUUUGCCGAUCCGCACACAUUGGAAUUUCGCUAACUCCUCCUAAAUCUUUUGUCCCAUCGGCUUCAAAUUUGCUCAGGUCAAUCUACACCCCAUGGCCAUUCAAAGUUGUACAAAUCAUGACGCUGCACCCCACAGUUUACGUUCUAGGGGGCGCCAAAGAGGACCCAAAUAUCCACAUUUUUAAAAGUCUUAUAACUUUUUAUUUUUGUCCUCACUGGCCUCCAAGUUUUCUAGGAUGAUGCAAUGUCCAGCCAUCAACACAUUUGUGAAGGAAUUUUUUCUCCCCAAAAGAGCGCCCCCCCAUGGCAGGAGAAAAAGUCAAGUUUUUCCUGCCCAUCGCUCAAUGGCUCAAACGCAUCGCUCUCUCUGCAAAACCGAAAGGAGGAGCAACUUGCCAUUUGGAUAUAUACUAGCUGUGUUUGUGCCCUCACUCAUGGUCCAGACUUUUUUCAAAUAGGACAUGUAGUUUGUCUGCAGCGAGCGUUUUGGUAGAAACUGCGCCUCCCAUUCAUUAUAAUGGGAAAUGACCACAGACAAGUGCGCACACCAUCUUUGGACCUUGAGUGUGAGGCUAUUUUGCAUUUUUUGCCGAUUCGCACACAUUGGAAUGUGGCUAACUCCUCCUAAGGCUUUCGUCCCACUGACACCAAAUUUGCUCAGGCCAAUCUACACCCCAUGGCCAUUCAAAGUUGUAAAAAUCAUGACGCUGCACCCCAUGGUUUACGUUCUAGGGGGCGCCAAAGAUGACCGAAAAAUCCACAUUCUUAAAGGAAUCCACAUCCCCCCCCCCCCCCCAAGGCAGGAGAAAAAGUCAAGUUAACCCUGCCCAUCGCUCAAUGGCUCAAUCGCAUCGCUCUCCAGGCAACACCGUAAGGAGGAGCAACCUGCCAUUUCGAUAUAUCAUAGCUGUGUUUGUGCCCUCACUCAUGGUCCAGACUUUUUUCAAAUAGGACAUGAAGUUUGUCUGCAGCGAGUGUUUUGGUAGAAACUGCGCCUCCCAUUCAUUAUAAUGGGAAAUGACCACAGACAAGUGCGCACACCAUCUUUGGACCUUGAGUGUGACGCGAUCGGGAGGGGGAGGCGGUCGCGCUGGGGGCGGCGCGACGCGGCUCGGGCCCGACAGUGCCCCACCGGGGCCCUAGUUCUUCUUCUUCUUUUUCUUAUUAUUUUUCUGCCCCUUUGAACUGGAAAAUGGCCCACUUCCCACUGGUGAAAAGUCAUGAAAUUUGGCAGGACGACCGGGCCUGGUGAAAAAUUCGAUAUUCUGAAGUCGCCCAAAAAUCAAAUGCAAAAUGGCUCCAUAGCGCCCCCUAAGGUGAAAAAUUCACAUGAUUGAGUGUCACGCCUGUACGCUUUGUCAAAAUGACACAAAAUUUGACACACACGUGUAUCUCAAUAAGAUCUACAAAAAAGUCAGUGCGGGCGUAUCUGUCAAAUGUACGGUUAAAGGGCUAUUUCGCAUUUUUUGCCGAUCCGCACACAUUGGAAUUUCGCUAACUCCUCCGAAGGCUUUCGUUCCACCGGCACCAAAUUUGCUCAGGCCAAUCUACACCCCAUGGCCAUUAAAAGUUGUACAAAUCAUGACGCUGCAUCCCACGGUUUACGUUCUAGGGGGCGCCAAAGAUAACCCAGAAAUCCACAUUCUUAAAAGUCGUAUAACUUUUUAUUUUUGUCCUCACUGGCCUCCAAGUUUUCUAGGAUGAUGCAAUGUCCAGCCAUCAACACAUUUGUGAAGGAAUUUUUACUCCCCAAAAGAGCGCCCCCCCAUGGCAGGAGAAAAAAGUCCAUUUUUUCUUGUCUCCUAAGGCGAAAAUUCACACUAUUGACUGUCACGCCUUUACGCUUUGUCAUAUUGACACAAAAAUUGACACACACAUGUAUCUCAAUAAGAUCUACAAAAAAGUCAGUGCGGGCGUAUCUGUCAAAUGUACGGUGAAAGGGCUAUUUCGCAUUUUUUGCCGAUCCGCACACAUUGGAAUUUCGCUAACUCCUCCGAAGGCUUUCGUUCCAAAGGCACCACAUUCUCUGAGGCCAAUCUACACCCCAUGGCCAUUAAAAGUUGUACAAAUCAUGACGCUGCACCCCACGGUUUACGUUCUAGGGGGCGCCAAAGAUAACCCAAAAAUCCACAGUCUUAAAAGUCUUAUAACUUUUUAUUUUUGUCCUCACUGGCCUCCAAGUUCUCUAGGAUGAUGCAAUGUCCAGCCAUCAACACAUUUGUGAAGGAAUUUUUACUCGCCAAAAGAGCGCCCCCCAUGGCAGGAGAAAAAAGUCCAUUUUUUCUUGUCUCCUAAGGCGAAAAUACACAUUGUUGACUGUCACGUCUUUACGCUUUGUCAAAAUGACACAAAAUUUGACACACACAUGUAUCUCAAUAAGAUCUACAAAAAAGUCAGUGCGGGCGUAUCUGUCAAAUGUACGGUUAAAGGGUUAUUUCGCAUUUUUUGCCGAUCCGCACACAUUGGAAUUUCGCUAACUCCUCCUAAAUCUUUUGUCCCAUCGGCUUCAAAUUUGCUCAGGUCAAUCUACACCCCAUGGCCAUUCAAAGUUGUACAAAUCAUGACGCUGCACCCCACAGUUUACGUUCUAGGGGGCGCCAAAGAGGACCCAAAUAUCCACAUUUUUAAAAGUCUUAUAACUUUUUAUUUUUGUCCUCACUGGCCUCCAAGUUUUCUAGGAUGAUGCAAUGUCCAGCCAUCAACACAUUUGUGAAGGAAUUUUUUCUCCCCAAAAGAGCGCCCCCCCAUGGCAGGAGAAAAAGUCAAGUUUUUCCUGCCCAUCGCUCAAUGGCUCAAACGCAUCGCUCUCUCUGCAAAACCGAAAGGAGGAGCAACUUGCCAUUUGGAUAUAUACUAGCUGUGUUUGUGCCCUCACUCAUGGUCCAGACUUUUUUCAAAUAGGACAUGUAGUUUGUCUGCAGCGAGCGUUUUGGUAGAAACUGCGCCUCCCAUUCAUUAUAAUGGGAAAUGACCACAGACAAGUGCGCACACCAUCUUUGGACCUUGAGUGUGACGCGAUCGGGAGGGGGAGGCGGUCGCGCUGGGGGCGGCGCGACGCGGCUCGGGCCCGACAGUGCCCCACCGGGGCCCUAGUGUUAUUAUUAUUAUUAUUAUUUUUCCUCCCCUUUGAACUGGAAAAUGGCCCACUUCCCACUGGCGAAAACUCAUGAAAUUUGGCAGGACGACCGGGCCUGGUGAAAAAUUUGAUAUUCCGAAGUCGCCCAAACAAGAAAAUGCAAAAUGGCUCCAUAGCGCCCCCUAAGGUGAAAAUUCACACUAUUCACUGUCACGCCGGUACGCUUUGUCAAAAUGACACAAAAAUUGACACACACAUGUAUCUCAAUAAGAUCUACAAAAAAGUCAGUGCGGGCGUAUCUGUCAAAUGUACGGUUAAAGGGUUAUUUCGCAUUUUUUGCCGAUCCGCACACAUUGGAAUUUCGCUAACUCCUCCGAAGGCUUUCGUUCCACCGGCACCACAUUUGCUCAGGCCAAUCUACACCCCAUGGCCAUUAAAAGUUAUUCAAAUCAUGACGCUGCACCCCACGGUUUAGGUUCUAGGGGGCGCCAAAGAUAACCCUAAGAUCCACAUAUUUAAAAGUCUUAUAACUUUUUAUUUUUGCCCUCACUGGCCUCCAAGUUUUCUAGGAUGAUGCAAUGUCCAGCCAUCAACACAUUUGUGAAGGAAUUUUUACUCCCCAAAAGAGCGCCCCCCCAUGGCAGGAGAAAAAAGUCCAUUUUUUCUUGUCCCCUAAGGUGAAAAUACACAUUGUUGAGUGUAACACCUGUACGCUUUGGCAAAAUGACACAAAAAUUGACACACACAUGUAUCUCAAUAAGAUCUACGAAAAAGUCAAUGCGCGCGUAUCUGUCAAAUGUACGGUUAAAGGGUUAUUCCGCAUUUUUUGCCGAUCCGCACACAUUGGAAUUUCGCUAACUCCUCCGAAGGCUUUCGUUCCACCGGCACCACAUUUGCUCAGGCCAAUCUACACCCCAUGGCCAUUAAAAGUUAUUCAAAUCAUGACGCUGCACCCCACGGUUUAGGUUCUAGGGGGCGCCAAAGAUAACUGUAAAAUCCACAUAUUUAAAAGUCUUAUAACUUUUUAUUUUUGUCCCCACUGGCCUCCAAGUUUUCUAGGAUGAUGCAAUGUCCAGCCAUCAACACAUUUGUGAAGGAAUUUUUACUCGCCAAAAGAGCGCCCCCCAUGGCAGGAGAAAAAAGUCCAUUUUUUCUUGUCCACUAAGGUGAAAAUACACAUUGUUGAGUGCUACGCCUGUAUGUUUUGUCGUAUUGACACAAAAUUUUACAUACACGUGUAUUUCAAUAAGAUCUUCGAAAAAGUCAAUGGCCACGUAUCUGUAAAAUGUACGGUUAAAGGGUUAUUUCGCAUUUUUUGCAGAUUCGCACACAUUGGAAUUUCGCUAACUCCUCCGAAGGCUUUCGUUCCACCGGCACCACAUUUGCUCAGGCCAAUCUACACCCCAUGGCCAUUAAAAGUUAUUCAAAUCAUGACGCUGCACCCCACGGUUUAGGUUCUAGGGGGCGCCAAAGAUAACCCUAAAAUCCACAUAUUUAAAAGUCUUAUAACUUUUUAUUUUUGUCCUCACUGGCCUCCAUGUUUUCUAGGAUGAUGCAAUGUCCAGCCAUCAACACAUUUGUGAAGGAGUUUUUUCUCUUUAAAAGAGCGCCCCCCAUGGCAGGAGAAUAAAGUCAAGUUUUUCCUGUUCAUCAUUCAAUGGCUCAAACGCACUGCUCUCUCGGCAAAAGCGAAAGGAGGAGCAACUUGCCAUUUGGAUAUAUCUUAGCUGUGUUUGUGCCCUCACUCAUGGUCCAGACUUUUUUCAAAUAGGACAUGGAGUUUUUCUGCAGCGAGCGUUUUGGUAGAAACUGCGCCUCCCGUUCAUUAUAAUGGUAAAUGACCACAAACAAGUGCGCACACCAUCUUUGGACCUUGAGUGUGACGCGAUCGGGUGGGGGAGGCGGUCGCGCUGGGGGCAGUGUGACACGGCUCGGGCCCGCCAGUGCCCCAACGGGGCCCUAGUUUCUUCUUUUUCCUCCCCUUUGAACUGGAAAAUGGCCCACUUCCCACUGGCGAAAACUCAUGAAAUUUGGCAGGACGACCGGGCCUGGUGAAAAAUUCGAUAUUCUGAAGUCGCCCAAACAAUAAAAUGCAAAAUGGCUCCAUAGCGCCCCCUAAGGUGGAAAUUCACACUAUUGACUGUCACGCCUGUACGCUUUGUCAUAUUGACACAAAAAUUGACACACAUAUGUAUCUCAAUAAGAUCUACAAAAAAGUCAGUGCGGCCGUAUCUGUCAAAAUUACGGUUAAAGGGUUAUUUCGCAUUUUUUGCCGAUCCGCACACAUUGGAAUUUCGCUAACUCCUCCGAAGGCUUUCGUUCCACCGGCACCACAUUUGCUCAGGCCAAUCUACACCCUGUGGCCAUUAAAAGUUAUCAAAAUCAUGACGCUGCACCCCAAGGUUUAGGUUCUAGGGGGCGCCAAAGAUAACACUAAAAUCCACAUAUUUAAAAGUCUUAUAACUUUUUAUUUUUGUCCUCACUGGCCUCCAAGUUUUCUAGGAUGAUGCAAUGUCCAGCCAUCAACACAUUUGUGUAGGAAUUUUUACUCCCCAAAAGAGCGCCCCCCCAUGGCAGGAGAAAAAAGUCCAUUUUUUCUUGUCCCCUAAGGUGAAAAUACACAUUGUUGAGUGUCACGCCUAUACGCUUUGUCAAAAUGACACAAAAAUUGACACACACAUGUAACUCAAUAAGAUCUACAAAAAAGUCCAUGCGCGCGUAUCUGUCAAAUGUACAGUUAAAGGGUUAUUCCGCAUUUUUUGCAGAUACGCACACAUUGGAAUUUCGCUAACUCCUCCGAAGGCUUUCGUUCCACCGGCACCACAUUUGCUCAGGCCAAUCUACACCCCAUGGCCAUUAAAAGUUAUUCAAAUCAUGACGCUGCACCCCACGGUUUAGGUUCUAGGGGGCGCCAAAGAUAACCCUAAAAUCCACAUAUUUAAAAGUUUUAUAACUUUUUAUUUUUGUCCUCACUGGCCUCCAAGUUUUCUAGGAUGAUGCAAUGUCCAGCCAUCAACACAUUUGUGAAGGAAUUUUUACUCCCCAAAAGAGCGCCCCCCCAUGGCAGGAGAAAAAAGUCCAUUUUUUCUUGUCCCCUAAGGUGAAAAUACAUAUUGUUGAGAUUCACGCCUAUACGCUUUGUCAUAUUGACACAAAAUUUGACAAUCACGUGCCUUGCCUGGUAUCAUUUUUUUCAGCACAACCUCACCUGUGCGAAUUUACAGUUAUUUUAUCAUGUUGACAUACUGAAUUUACACAAUGGACCCAAAUUCACACACAAAACAUAAAAUCCGAGUGGAAAAAAGUAACAUUUUUACUGUGAAAACCACAAAUAUGUGUGAUGAACUGUUUUUAAAACUUAAACUUCAAAUAAAAAUUGUAAACUUCAAAACAUAUGCAAAUUUUUAACAAAGAACAUAGUGAUUUACCUCUAUUUACAUCAAAAUGCAGGCAAUGGCCCAGGCGUUCUUUGUAAAAUUAUUUACAAAACACUGUAUAGUCUCACAAAUGUCACUUUUUAUUUAUGCCACUACAAAAAAACAUGAUGUAAAUGAUGCAUGAUGUAAAACAUGAUGUAAAAAACUUGUGUAGAUCCUCCUCUAUGUCAGUCCAUGUGUAAUUUUUCCAUAAUUCUUUGUUUUUUGCAGCAUUUUUGUUAGUGUAACUGCAGAUUGUGCUGACAGUGUCUAUGGCACAAAAAAAAAAAAUUAAAAUGCCUCAACAUGAACCCCUGGUGGUCUCUGAGGGUGAAACCUGCUAACUGCUGCAGCUCUGUCAGCUUCAGUCUCCCAUGCAGAGCUCUGAGCGCAUGUGUGGCUCUGCACCCUUAGCAGCGUUGCUAACUCCUCAGUAAGGAAAGCCUGCUUCAUGUCAGAGUCUCUAAACUCCAGAAGAAGUCGAUAAAAGUCCCUUUCUUUCUAAAAAAAAAGUCGUUAGGGGGUCUGAAAAGUCAUUGAAUCUAACAACAAAGUCGCUAGGUUUGCAACUACGUGUCCCAGACUGCAUCCCUGCUGAGAGUCCCUCCCUCGCUUCUCAUGUUGCAGGAAGAACGUAAGCACCCGCCCCUUGUCAAUCAGUCACCAUAUAAUUUUGGAUUGGUUGUUGUGGUGAAGUUUUCCACCAAUAGGAGAGAUGUUGUGGUGUGUUUUUUUUUUCUUUUGGCAAGCCUUUUCCGCCUGUAAGACCUGUCGCUAAUGUCUGCAUGCUAUGUUUUCCUGUCUCAUACAGCGCGAUCGAGCGCCGAACGUGAUCAAAAUAAGCAGAAAAAAAGUAUCGCGGACAUAAUUUAUCAUAACUCUGGUUUUAUUUGGCCUAUCAACACAAUUUAAAAACUGGUAUAUAGGUUGAGGUCCUCACUUUUGAGAUAAGUUGAAACGGAGAGUCAACGAGGCUCCGUCUUGCAGCUACAUCCGGUUAAAUAUGUCAUGUGACUUGAACGCACACACACACACGCACACACACACACACACACACACACACUCAGAGUCUGGUUUUUAGCACCUGCAAAAACAUGCUAUUUACAUAUUUGACAAGAAUGCAGAGGCUCCUUUUGCCCCUGAAAAAAAUCAAAUUUCAAACACAACUUGACUGCUCAAUUCUCCAAAAGACAACCAUGAAGCUCCAUCCAAACCUGAAGCAGGCAGUUGGUGCAUGUGUACAGUAACCUGAGGGGAGUGAGGUGAGUGCUUCUGAGGAGAACAUGAGCAGUGAAGAUUCACCUUGGAGCUAGAACAGAGACAUGCACAUGAUUAUACAGGGGCAGGGGCUCAAGUUUUUUCCAGUCGUUUAUACAAUAUGGAAAUUAAUGUGAAAUUAAAACACAAAGUAUUAAUAGAAAGGUUAUGACUGUCCUGUGUAGGUGACAGUGAUAUCCAAUAGGCUAGGCACUCACGAGGCUGGCUGUGGCAAGUGUAAGUGAAAGCAACACGCACUGGCAAGAAGAACAGCAAACGCCGAUGAAGGAAAAGGGUCUUUGCAGUGAUGGGCGUUACCAGAGAGGGCGAUGGCCAGAGGACACAAAUGGGACGGGGAGGCAGCACGUUGGGGGGGGGACGCGACACGGCUCGGGCCCGCCAGUGCCCCAACGGGGUCCUAGUUAGGGCCCGAGCGUAGCUGCUAAGCAGCUGCGAGAGCCCUAUUAUUCCCCAAGUGGUUUUUCUUUGUUUCUUUAGGGCCCGAGCGUAGCUGCUAAGCAGCUGCGAGAGCCCUCUUGUUCCUGUAGUUUCCUUCUUUAGGGCCCGAGCGUAGCUGCUAAGCAGCUGCGAGAGCCCUCUUGUUCCUGUAGUUUCCUUCUUUUGUUAUUAUUAUUAUUAUUUUUCCUCCCCUUUGAACUGGAAAAUGGCCCACUUCCCACUGGCGAAAACUCAUGAAAUUUGGCAGGACGACCGGGCCUGGUGAAAAAUUUGAUAUUCCGAAGUCG